This 310-nucleotide ribosomal RNA is filed under the name Proteus mirabilis. RNAcentral describes it as "bacterial SSU rRNA". It matches the Rfam family "Bacterial small subunit ribosomal RNA", at positions 1048 to 1357 of the family's 1533-position model. The record is from RNAcentral. Lineage: Bacteria; Pseudomonadati; Pseudomonadota; Gammaproteobacteria; Enterobacterales; Morganellaceae.
GCUGUCGUCAGCUCGUGUUGUGAAAUGUUGGGUUAAGUCCCGCAACGAGCGCAACCCUUAUCCUUUGUUGCCAGCACGUAAUGGUGGGAACUCAAAGGAGACUGCCGGUGAUAAACCGGAGGAAGGUGGGGAUGACGUCAAGUCAUCAUGGCCCUUACGAGUAGGGCUACACACGUGCUACAAUGGCAGAUACAAAGAGAAGCGACCUCGCGAGAGCAAGCGGAACUCAUAAAGUCUGUCGUAGUCCGGAUUGGAGUCUGCAACUCGACUCCAUGAAGUCGGAAUCGCUAGUAAUCGUAGAUCAGAAUGC